UGCAAGUCGAGCGAUCUUCUUCGGAAGAGAGCGGCGGACGGGUGAGUAACGCGUGGGUAACCUGCCCUGUACACACGGAUAACAUACCGAAAGGUAUGCUAAUACGGGAUAACAUAAGAAAUUCGCAUGUUUUUCUUAUCAAAGCUCCGGCGGUACAGGAUGGACCCGCGUCUGAUUAGCUAGUUGGUGAGGUAACGGCUCACCAAGGCGACGAUCAGUAGCCGACCUGAGAGGGUGAUCGGCCACAUUGGAACUGAGACACGGUCCAAACUCC
This 274-nucleotide ribosomal RNA is filed under the name uncultured Peptostreptococcaceae bacterium. RNAcentral's name for it is "partial 16S ribosomal RNA". It matches the Rfam family "Bacterial small subunit ribosomal RNA", at positions 56 to 339 of the family's 1533-position model. Lineage: Bacteria; Bacillati; Bacillota; Clostridia; Peptostreptococcales; Peptostreptococcaceae. The record is from RNAcentral.